Molecule: ribosomal RNA, 291 nt
Filed under: uncultured bacterium
Lineage: Bacteria
Description: partial 16S ribosomal RNA
Rfam family: Bacterial small subunit ribosomal RNA
Source: RNAcentral
GGGAGGGGCUUGCGUCUGAUUAGCUAGUUGGAGGGGUAACGGCCCACCAAGGCGACGAUCAGUAGCCGGUCUGAGAGGAUGAACGGCCACAUUGGAACUGAGACACGGUCCAGACUCCUACGGGAGGCAGCAGUGGGGAAUCUUCCGCAAUGGGCGAAAGCCUGACGGAGCAACGCCGCGUGAGCGAAGACGGCCUUCGGGUUGUAAAGCUCUGUUAUACGGGACGAACGGCUAGUGUGCCAAUACCACAUUAGAAUGACGGUACCGUAAGAGAAAGCCACGGCUAACUAC